GACAGAGGAUGCAAGCGUUAUCCGGAAUGAUUGGGCGUAAAGCGUCUGUAGGUGGCUUUUUAAGUCUGCCGUCAAAUCCCAGGGCUUAACCCUGGACAGGCGGUGGAAACUACCGAGCUGGAGUACGGUAGGGGCAGAGGGAAUUUCCGGUGGAGCGGUGAAAUGCGUAGAGAUCGGAAAGAACACCAACGGCGAAAGCACUCUGCUGGGCCGACACUGACACUGAGAGGCGAAAGCUAGGGGAGCGAAUGGG
Molecule: ribosomal RNA, 253 nt
Filed under: uncultured bacterium
Lineage: Bacteria
Description: partial 16S ribosomal RNA
Rfam family: Bacterial small subunit ribosomal RNA
Source: RNAcentral